AAAUAUAGUGAGAACGCAGAGAUAAUAAUUAUAUAGUUUAUACGAUAAUCGAGACUGACGAAAAUUAUUAUAAGGCUGCUCAUGCAGAGGGUAUAGCUAUAUAGCUGAAGAAAAAGAGUGUUCUGGCUCAGUAGCUUUGGUAUACUGUACAACAGAACACAAUUGCAGUGUGCUAUUAGCUAUAAUAAUUUAUUAUAAUUAUUAUCCGAAUAGCCGUGGUUAUAAUUUCAUACGUAGUACUGCCCACCGCGGAACCAAAAUCUAAAUACUUUCAUUACCAACCACUAGCAAAGAAAGAUGCGUAGCUAAGAAGCAGUAGCAGUUUUCUGCAGGCAACUUUGUUGCAAACUAGUCUAGAAUAGUUACUCUGACAGGAUCUCUAAGUUUCGAACGGAGGAGUAUACCAGCCAAGGCCCCAGCGAAGGAUCAUUUCACAACAUUCGCCUCUAGCAAAGAAAGAUGCAUAACUUGGAAACAGUGACAGUUUUCUUUAUUUAACUUCGUAGCAAAGUAGUCUACAGUAGUUACUCUGUCAGGAUUUUCUGGUUUCCAACGAAACAGUCAACCAGCCAAGGGCCAGAGCAAGGGAUCACUUCAGAGUGUGGCAAAGAAAGAUGCACCACUUAGUAACGCUACCUUGUAACUAGUUACUCCUCCAAGUUUCUAUCUGAACAGUCAAUCAGCCAAGGACAGAGCGAGAGAUUACUUUAGAGGUAAGCUUUGUGUGCGUAUGAUUAUUAGCUGAUAAUACUAUACGCUUACCUACGUAGCUUGUAAACUAUACUGGCUCCAUGCAGCAGUGUGUUGAAGCCGGAGUUUAAAUACAGAAGCCUAUAUGUACGCUCAGUAUAUGUACGAUUUGCUUAGCAUAUCUGUUGGUCUCAUCCACAAUGUAAUCUGUUAUUAGCUGCUGGACACCCGGAAAAUUAACUUUUAUCUUUGUCGAUUCCUUUAUUGCUACUGAGGAUGGCAGCAGAAACACCUCUAUUGUUUAGACUCCUGAUCUGGUCAAUCAUGAGUCUCAUGAUGAGAGAUACAAGGGGAGAGACAAUUAACAAGAACAACACUUUUGUCAACAGGAGGAGCCUUGGUCCUACCUAGCUUGUAGUCCAUUAAAAAGGGUAGCAACUGAUAUAGCAGAGAGACUUGCCAUACCCCGUUGGGAACCAGAUAAACACGUCCCUUCCCUCAAACAGGAGCUUGAGAGCCUGGGCCUGUUCUGCCAUGAGAGUGAGGCCAUC
Long non-coding RNA from Halichondria panicea, 1241 nucleotides. RefSeq lists it as uncharacterized. Lineage: Eukaryota; Metazoa; Porifera; Demospongiae; Suberitida; Halichondriidae. The record is from RefSeq and is a predicted model, not a curated record. The transcript is spliced from 3 exons.